UGAGGAAUAUUGGGCAAUGCCCGAAAGGGUGACCCAGCAACGCCGCGUGGAGGAUGAAGGUCGUAAGAUUGUAAACUCCUGUUAGAGGGGAAGAAUAACUAAGUUUGGAGCUUAGUACGACUGUACCCUCAGAGAAAGCCCCGGCUAACUACGUGCCAGCAGCCGCGGUAAUACGUAGGGGGCAAGCGUUGUCCGGAUUUACUGGGUGUAAAGGGCGCGCAGGCGGAAUGGAAAGUCAGUGGUGAAAUCCUACAGCUUAACUGUAGAACUGCCUUUGAUACUUUCAUUCUUGAGUUCGGGAGAGAGAGACGGAAUUCCAGGUGUAGUGGUGAAAUACGUAGAUAUCUGGAAGAACACCAGUUGCGAAGGCGGUCUCUUGGUCCGAUACUGACGCUGAGGCGCGAAAGCGUGGGGAGCAAACA
This 422-nucleotide ribosomal RNA is filed under the name uncultured bacterium. Its description in RNAcentral is "bacterial SSU rRNA". It matches the Rfam family "Bacterial small subunit ribosomal RNA", at positions 355 to 774 of the family's 1533-position model. The record is from RNAcentral.